RNAcentral lists this ribosomal RNA (458 nucleotides) under uncultured bacterium. RNAcentral describes it as "partial 16S ribosomal RNA". It matches the Rfam family "Bacterial small subunit ribosomal RNA", at positions 338 to 795 of the family's 1533-position model. The record is from RNAcentral.
CCUACGGGUGGCAGCAGUGAGGAAUAUUGGUCAAUGGGCGAGAGCCUGAACCAGCCAAGUCGCGUGAGGGAGUACUGCCCUAUGGGUUUUAAACCUCUUUUGUCGGGGAGCAAAAGCCGGACGUGUCCGGCUGUGAGAGUACCCGAAGAAAAAGCAUCGGCUAACUCCGUGCCAGCAGCCGCGUUAAUACGGAGGAUGCGAGCGUUAUCCGGAUUUAUUGGUUUUAAAGGUUGCGCAGGCGGAUUUUUAAGUCAGCGGGAAAAUCGUGGGGCUCAACCCCAUCCAGCCGUUGAAACUGGGGAUCUAGAGUGUGCGAGAGGUAUGCGGAAUGCGUGGUGUAGCGGUGAAAUGCAUAGAUAUCACGCAGAACCCCGAUUGCGAAGGCAGCAUACCGGUGCACAACUGACGCUCAGGCACGAAAGCGUGGGUAGCGAACAGGAUUAGAUACCCUGGUAGUC